CACACACACACACACACACACACACACACACACUUCUUCAGAUGUGGCCAAACACUUAGAGCCCAGUUUAGUGUUUUAAAAGAAUGUUCAUAAACAAGUAAUGACUAAUAAUUGAUUCAUUCUACUCAGGCUUUAAAUAAAAAUGACAUAUUGUUUAAAAAUGACAUAUUGUAUUGAUAAGAAAUAAAUGCACUGUUAGCAAGAUGUUACAACAGAGAGAUAACUGUCGACUCUAUGGACAGUGCCAGAACAUAUCUUUCCUUUAAAAGUCAGGUUUCCCAUGCUUUAAUUAUGAGAAAAAUUCCUGAGGUCAGGGUCAUGAUCGGUACACACCCAAUGUUCUUUAGUAUUAACUAUACUGAGCAAAACAUCAUUUCUUCUCAGGGUGUGACUGCAUGUCGUGACUCAGACAUUGAGACAUUGAUAUGACGUUAGUAGGCAUUGAAUAUAAAUAGACUUCUUAGAAUCCGGUUGAUUUGACACAGUACUGCUCUUUAUAUUUGAUAAGACUCAACUGGCAAAUAUUGGUACGUCCUUGAGCAAGCUGACCGCACUGUUGAAUUUAACAUUCAGGUUACAUUGUGACACAGGUUACUGAGUGCAGGUACUACAGUACAGGCCAUCGUUGUGAGAAGUGUCAUGUGUCCUGUGAGAUGUGCUCAGGUCCGGGACCAGAUGCCUGCAUAGUGUGUGUCCCACCUCAGCUGGAGCUUCAGGGCACCAGGGUGUGUGUGGAGCGGUGCCCUCCCCAUUUCUACCAAAGCACACAUACCUGCUGGCAGUGUCACUCUAGCUGCAAGACCUGCACAGGUACAAGCUCCAUGCACCUUAAAGGGGUCAUAUCAUGAUUUUUAAAUGUUUUUAAACUGUAAUUAUUUUGAUUAUUGGGUGUAAUAGAAAAGAUUCAUGUGCUUUAAUGUUCAAAAAACGCAUUGUCACAUACUGUACAUUAUUGCAGUACCUCUAUUCCUCUAUUCCGGAAAUGUAACGCCCCUUCGGUUAGCUUCAGCCUCCGAGGCUUCUGAAAUAAUUCUACGCUCCUAAGCAACAUGUCAUUUUUAAUGUAUCAGUUUCAGCGUGAGUCAGAUUCGGAAAAUGUGGAUGAUCAAGCAGAACCAACUUUGCAAACACAACUUGAGCAGAAGGUUUCCCAGUGGUAAGUUUUUAUUUUGUAACUCUCUUUACCUUUCAGAUACGAUGUAAAUGACGACACCCCACCGGUGGGCCGGCGCGUUAAGUGCAAAACUAUGCUUCUGUGUGUACAUGGGUACUCAUGCAAUAUAUCUUUGGAAAGCUAAGAUUCUUGUGAUUCGAUUGAUAUAAACCAUUUCAAGAUACAAUUACAACAGAAGCUAUAAUCAACAUCUUUGUCAGACCACCAACAUACAAACACCUGAAGAAACUUAGCCUUUAGUUACCGUUGCAAUCAAAAUUAUUCAACCCUCAUUGAAUUUUAUUUAUCUUUACAUUGUUAUUAUUGCCAUAUCAAUUAUUCAUCAACUUCCUUGUCAAAUUGACCUACUGUGCUCUACAACUAUAAAUCUAAUGACUCUUUGUGAAUGUACAUGUGUUUGCACACCUCAACACACCUCAGAGCUGUCUGACGUGCGACUGGGGCAGUAUCUUACAGGAAGGGGUGUGUUACCCUCGCUGUGAAGAAGGCCGCUACUACUCUCAAAAUCUUUGUGUUUGGAGGCUCCAGUGUCACCACAUACCCAGGCUGAGGACGAUGAGAUGAAUCUGAGGUCUCGGGUAUAAGAGCACACAUCUGCCGCCCUGCCUACUGCUCUGAUCUUGGCUGUAGUCCUUGCACUGGGCAUCUUUGCAUUGACACAGGCCCGUGCCAGGAAGAGGCUGUGCUGGAGACAGAGUUAUGAGAGGCUGAGCGGGACGGCGGGUGCAAGGCCUGAUCCACGCCCCAUGCCUCAUGGAGUACCCGAGCCUGAGGACAGAGGAGAUGAUGCAGACGUUGUGUAUACAAGUCAAGACGGAUCCAUCUAUCGCCGCUAUGGGUUCAUACACAAACCUGAGACUGAGGACGAGAAGGUGGAUGAAGCCAAUGAGAACAUAGUCCUCAAUCGGGCAAAAAGAGAGCAAAGGGCAUGUUAAGAUAUCCUUCAAGAUUGGGAUCCGGAUAGUUCAAAAUUUUAUAUUGCAGUUUACUUUUUUUUUCAGUGAAAUGAAGGUUAGCAUGCAGCAUCUCUCAUUGUAAAAUAUUUUAUAUGUAAGAAACACCUAUUAUACACCUCUUGUUUUAUUUGAGAAUGAAUGGUUAGUUAAAAAAAAACUUUAUAGCAUGUAAUACAUUUGAUUCUGUAAAUAAGUAACUGUUAGUGAAAGUUUAAAAUUGAUAGCUGUAGGAAAUAAUCUGUGGAACUGUGUUUGAAUGAACAAAUAUAAAACAAUAUUCUUUAUAACUCCAGUUUCAUAAAUUUGAUUGUUUUCCUCUAACAACUCUCCUGUUCUUUGGAAAAGACAUAUGCAAGUUUAUCAAGUGGCAUGUUUGCUGCUUUGUAAAUAUAGCUGUAUUUGGUAAAUUGCUUACUGAAUUGCCAGUUCAUAUUGUAACAAGUAAUUUGUAAUGUUCCAUUUGUAUAAAUAUAACAUGUAAUUCAGAUAAAAUGUCUUUUAAGUCUUUAAAGUGUUUAAGUAUUAAUUUUUGUGACAUUUCUGUAGUACAGUCUUAAGCACUAUUUAGGCCUGGCUUCUAAUACAGAAAUGAAUGAAAAUCUAACGUACACCCACAUUUGUCAGGAUAGACAAAAAACACCAAAUCUCCUAAACCCUAUUUACAUUACAGUUACUGUGGAUGCUUCUAUAGCUAAAAACUAAUAUAAUAAUACAGAAUAAUAAUACAUUAUCAUGGCCUUAUUGUGAUUAUGGCUGGGGAAGUAAGAAUGAACAGGAAAGGGUUACAAAAGGGGGAGGGCAGGGCAGAGCAAUAAAAAAAAAAAGGUGAGAGGAUGUGACAGAUCUGGUUUAUUGUGUUAUAGUGUCUUGCAAAAGUAUUCACCCCUCUUAGCAUUUUUCCUAUUGCAUUUCAACCUGUAAUUUAAAUGGAUUUUUAUUUGGAUUUCAUGUAAUGGUGAAAUGAAAAGAAUAACUUGUUUAAAAAAAAAAUAUUUAAAACAGAAAAGUGAUGCAUGCAUUUCUAUUCACUAUUUCUAUUUACUAUGAAGCCCUUAAAUAAGAUCUGGUAUAACAAGUUACCUUCAGAAGCCUCAUAAUUAAUUAAAUAAAGUCCACCUGU
RNA transcript from Ictalurus furcatus (blue catfish), 3250 nucleotides. It is a transcript of the gene named proprotein convertase subtilisin/kexin type 5, with no coding region annotated. The record is from RefSeq and is a predicted model, not a curated record. The transcript has 3 exons. Lineage: Eukaryota; Metazoa; Chordata; Actinopteri; Siluriformes; Ictaluridae.